AGUUUAUCUCAGUGAAACGAUAGCUAAUCAUCCAAUUAUUUUCACUUUGACAUGAAAAUGUAGACAUUUAAAAAAUCCCCAACAAUUUGAAUGUCGUGGGAUUUUGCAUUGCAUGUAUUCCCAGCAGUGACAUAGAGUAGGUCUGUGUGGGUCAUGCAUGCUUAUAACAUUUGUUUUCUUUUCUGGAAAGUAACAAAAAGAAGCUAAGUAAAGACCAUGAGGAGUGUAGCCAAAACAGUGCAAAACAAGUUAAGGUAACAUCCUGAAGGUGGUUAAAGGACAUCCAAAUGUACCCUCCUUUAUAUGACAAAUCCUGUGUGGCAUCCCUGGAAAAUGGCUUCUUUUAAGAUCUUCUGCACUGAUCCUUUUAAGUUCAGCAUUUUAAGCGAACCUUGGAAAAACGAUUGUGUGAUCAGACACCGCACUGCAAGCAAGAACGCCCAUUUGGUAAUGGUAGUUGUGGACAAAAAGCUGAAUGCUGUGGUUUCAGUGACUUAUCAUUGAGACCUUGUGGUUUCUGUGUAGGAGGGCUGUACAAGCUGGACACGUUUGACAUCCUUAUUUCUGAGCUGUGAAAUCUGUACAUCUAACUUAUGAAAAUUACUUCUGCUUUUAUUUUAUUCUUUUAUUUAAUGAAGUCAACGCCAUAUUUUCCUUGCAUUCAGUGGAAACAAAAACAAUGGAAAUGUUUUAGGGUAUGCUAUGAACCUGCUUUGACCUCCAAAGAGAAAAGGAUGAAUAUGUUCAUUUCUAUGAUUAAUAGUCAAGAUGCUUUACUUAUAGAAGUAAGCUUAAAUAAAAUAUUGUAACCAGUUGAUUGGAGAGAGGGGAGCAUUUCUCUGAUGUGGAGCUAGAGGAUUCAUUACUAUGCCAUGUCAGUAUUAUGUUUUUAAUCCUUGAUUUUUUACUGUAUGUAUAAUAGUAACAUAGAACCAUGUAAAUAUCUGUAUUUCUUUUAGAGGGCUAAAUCUGGUUCUUCAGACCAAAAAUGGAUUACUUCGGAAUGGGGAGGGCUGAAUAGUCUUCCCAUGCUGUGGAGCUGUAGAUAAGUCACUCCUGCACCUCUGUUCUGCUAGUAAUAGAUGCACUGGUGUCAGCCUGUCUCUUCCCCCAGGCCACUCCCUCUCUAGCUGCUAUGUAGAUACAUACCAGGAGCCCCCAGAGAGCUGAGAUUUGUAGAAUGCAGAGCAUUUGGGCCUGUGUGGGUUCAGCAAAUCCUGUCUCCCCUCAUUGUCCUACACAGCAGAACCCCACCAACUGCACCACACCUGGGGCCUUCUGCAGGGGCAAGAUCAGUGCCCAGGUAGCCAAUACAUCAUACUCCAAAAUGAAGCAAUAGAAGUGAGUCAAAUCCUAUGCAUAUGAAAGAGACCACUCAAAGAUUCCAAACUGACCCACAAUCUUUCUUGGGUAUGUCUGCACUACAAAUGCUACAGCAACACACUACAGCUAUGCUGCUAUAGUAUAGACACUAGAGCGAGGGAAGAGGUUUUUCCUGUUCUUUAGUAAAUCCACCUGCCUUUCGAGAAGGCUGAUGGAAGAAUUCUUCUGUUGGUGUAGCUGCAUCAACUGUGGGGGUUAGGUUGACCUAACUACAUCGCACAGGCUGUGAAAUUUUUCACAGCCCUGAGUGACAUAGCUAGGUCGACCUAAGUUUUAGAUGUAGACCAGACCCUGGCAAAAUAGAAGAGGAACUAGUACUUCUGUGCAAAACAUCCAUUCACCCCAUCUGUGGUAGAAAAAUCCAUCUGAAAGCAUGAAAGACAAUAGAACCCUCUUGCAUGCAUUUUGUGUUAACUAAGAUUUAGAGUGUGAUUAUCACUGAACAAUCAUUUUGGAAAAGAUGGCCAUGAGAUGCUCAUUUUACCAACUCUGAUUUUUGUAUCAAACACAUGCCUUCACAAGUAAAAAGAUCAGAUAUGUUGAUUUUUAACUACAAAUUUGCUCAAUGAUCUCUGUUUCAGACAUGUUAAAAAAAUGUUUGCUAAGUGCCAGGCUUGCAAAAUCUCCCUUGGAUCUGAAAAUCAAGGGGGUGAUACUGCUUAAUCAACACAAUCUGAAUAAAGAGAGUCACGUAAUAGUGGUAAGCAGUUGAGGUAUAUGGUUGGAAAAUAGUAAACUUGCUGUAUUAAAAUAUCCAUGUGUCAGGGACAUUUUUCUUGUGCUACUAACCAAGUACUUGUAAUAAACAUCUCUAAGUGAGAA
Chrysemys picta bellii (western painted turtle) is the source of this 2205-nucleotide long non-coding RNA. RefSeq lists it as uncharacterized. NCBI's taxonomy places the organism in Eukaryota, Metazoa, Chordata, Testudines, Emydidae. The record is from RefSeq and is a predicted model, not a curated record.